ACUCAACACUAACAAAUUCAAAUGAGCAAAUCGUCGCUACUAUAGCAUGCCCGCCUGACGGGAAGCCAGAACAGCGAGCUAGCUCAAAACUUGUCUUUACGAGUUU
Molecule: small RNA, 106 nt
Filed under: Flavobacterium fontis
Lineage: Bacteria; Pseudomonadati; Bacteroidota; Flavobacteriia; Flavobacteriales; Flavobacteriaceae
Description: 6S-Flavo RNA
Source: RNAcentral